GUCUAUUUGUGGAUAUAAAUGGUCUAGUCUGCCCACUGAUAAAAUAAGUUUAAAGGGCCGCGGUAUUUUGACCGUGCAAAGGUAGCAUAAUCACUAGUUUUUUAAUUGGAAUCUCGUAUGAAUGGCUGGACAAAAGAAAGUCUGUCUCUAUAAUAAUUAUUGAAUUUAACUUUUAAGUGAAAAGGCUUAAAUGAUUUGAAAAGACGAUAAGACCCUAUAAAGCUUGAUAUAAGUUGUAUAUUAUUAUAGAAUUUUAUAAUUUAUAAAGAUAUAUUGUGCAGUUUUUAUUUUAUUGGGGCGAUAGAGGUAGAAUUUUUAAUAACUGCUUAGAUUUUAUGACAGUAUAAGUGAUUAGUUUGUAAAAGAUCCUAAAUAAAGAUUAAAAGGUUAAGUUACUUUAGGGAUAACAGCGUAAUUCUUUUUGAGAGUUCUUAUCGAAAGAAGAGUUUGCGACCUCGAUGUUGAAUUAAAAGUUCUUUACAAUUGUAGGAGUUGUAAAAGAAGGUCUGUUCGACCUUUAAAUUUUU
This 527-nucleotide ribosomal RNA is filed under the name Metopograpsus quadridentatus. RNAcentral's name for it is "partial 16S ribosomal RNA". It matches the Rfam family "Bacterial large subunit ribosomal RNA", at positions 1831 to 2597 of the family's 2925-position model. The record is from RNAcentral. Lineage: Eukaryota; Metazoa; Arthropoda; Malacostraca; Decapoda; Grapsidae.